GACGUUCCCCUUCGGGGGACAGAGUGACAGGUGGUGCAUGGUUGUCGUCAGCUCGUGUCGUGAGAUGUUGGGUUAAGUCCCGCAACGAGCGCAACCCUUGUCCUUAGUUGCCAGCAUUUAGUUGGGCACUCUAAGGAGACUGCCGGUGACAAACCGGAGGAAGGUGGGGAUGACGUCAAAUCAUCAUGCCCCUUAUGACCUGGGCUACACACGUGCUACAAUGGAUGGUACAAAGGGUUGCGAGACCGCGAGGUUUAGCCAAUCCCAUAAAACCAUUCUCAGUUCGGAUUGUAGGCUGCAACUCGCCUACAUGAAGCCGGAAUCGCUAGUAAUCGUGGAUCAGCAUGCCACGGUGAAUACGUUCCCGGGCCUUGUACACACCG
RNAcentral lists this ribosomal RNA (383 nucleotides) under uncultured Bacillus sp. RNAcentral's name for it is "bacterial SSU rRNA". It matches the Rfam family "Bacterial small subunit ribosomal RNA", at positions 1009 to 1392 of the family's 1533-position model. Lineage: Bacteria; Bacillati; Bacillota; Bacilli; Caryophanales; Bacillaceae. The record is from RNAcentral.